CUGACCAUGGCCGUAGUGAAGGCCCCGAAGAAGCUAGUUUGGUUGGCUGCAAACCUCUUCACUGCAGACCUCGAUAGCAGGUUGGUGAACAGCACCUGAUCGGAAGAGAACAGCCCCUCGCCGUUCAGCAGAUUCCGGUAGUAGAGGUUGUCGAACACCGUCGGGGUGAAGGGAUCCAUGUUGACGGCAAUGGUCGGGUCGACAUUGUGCGGGCAAGCUCGCAUCAGCAGACGCGCGUACGCAGGAUUGAGCGACGGGUCGACUGCCGAUGAGUAGAGGCGUCCGGCGAAUCGGCUGCAGUGGGAGAAGCCAACGGUGUGAGCUCCCGAGAGGGCGAUCAUGUCAUGUGUCGUGAGGUUGUUCAUCCGGAAGAGGUCGGAGAGACGGUUGAGGUCCAAGUCCGGGCCAGGGAGGCGUCCGGCCACUCUUUCGGCCUGAGAGAUGAGCCCGUCGCGCCUGCCGAGCUCCACCGCAAAGUCGG
RNAcentral lists this long non-coding RNA (481 nucleotides) under Musa acuminata (dwarf banana). RNAcentral describes it as "long non-coding RNA (MACU_LNC001955)". The record is from RNAcentral. Lineage: Eukaryota; Viridiplantae; Streptophyta; Magnoliopsida; Zingiberales; Musaceae.